Long non-coding RNA from Myotis myotis, 583 nucleotides. RefSeq lists it as uncharacterized. NCBI's taxonomy places the organism in Eukaryota, Metazoa, Chordata, Mammalia, Chiroptera, Vespertilionidae. The transcript has 2 exons. The record is from RefSeq and is a predicted model, not a curated record.
GGUGGCCGCACCGUGACGCCCUGGCGUGUGCGUGGGUGCCGCGCUCCCUGUGUCUGCGGCGCCUUCACACCAAGGAUUCACGGAGCGUCUGCCCCGGGACCCUGAUGAGCCCGUGCAGGGCCCCCGGCCCGGAGCCCGGCUGAGGGACACGGCCACUGUCAGCGCCUCUGUGCUGCUCAUUUCCAUCUCCAGCUCCCCCUGAACAAGAGCAGAAGCUCCCCUCCACUCCCAGCUCAGCUCAGCCACUGCCCCACGGAAGCGCCCGGGCCGUCCAGGAAGGAAGGAGACGGGGAGAAACUGGGCUGCGGUGACAGGACUCUUUUCGGGGGACCGAGGGGGGCCAGCCUGUCACUUGGUCCUGUCACAGGAGGUGGCCUGGGAGGUGCACAGCCACUGGGAGGGCCAGCCAUGGGGACCCCACCUCGCCUUGAGCGCCUCUGUUUGAGAACCCAGAAUCCACGCUGCACCGGCGGGAGCCAGCGAGGCAGUGAGCAGGGGCCGCUUUCUCCCCUCAGUCACAGACCUAGUAGUGUUAUUGAUUUGCUGUAACAAUAAACAUCGACUUGUUUUUUGUUUUGUUUUU